AAGUCGUAACAAGGUUUCCGUAGGUGAACCUGCGGAAGGAUCAUUAACACGUAUCCACGUUUAUCAACCAAUGCGAACUCGUUUUCCCGUCUCCCUUUGGCACUAGAAUGAAUUGGAACCAGUUUGAGGGAAUUGAUGUGGGCUGCUUCACGGCAGUCGGCCUUCCUGGUACACUUAUGUCGGAGAAAUCUGAUAUUGACAAUUGAAUCUUUUGUUUGAAGGCCAAAUUUCUUAAUUCUACUUUGAUCUCCAUCAUGAUCGCCGAGUAGUUUUAGGAGUAAACAUUUAAACCAUUUUCACCACCUUUUUGCUAGUUGACUUUUUAUCUGUGAUUAUUUUGUCUCGUGCAAUGUUUUCACACGUUUAAUUAAUUGAACGUUAAAAAAUACAACUCUUAGCAAUGGAUAUCUUGGUUCUC
Molecule: unclassified non-coding RNA, 418 nt
Filed under: fungal sp.
Lineage: Eukaryota; Fungi
Description: partial internal transcribed spacer region
Rfam family: Eukaryotic small subunit ribosomal RNA (bases 1-46)
Source: RNAcentral